GCGGGCACAGGCGGAGGAAGACUCUCAUGUCAUGAUCUGUGGAACAGCCCAACCCCCCAGGGUAGCCCGUGUACAAAAUAGUUAACUCCUUUGCCUUUGAGGAUAUUAAUACAGCUCUUCCACGCUUCCUUAAGACUUGGAUGGGUCCAUAGAUCAGUAUUUAUUAUGCUGUCCAGGGCAAAUGCAUCCUCGUGCUAAUGGCAAGAGGGGAGCUCACAGAAUUUCCAAACCUGGACACUAGUUGGUGACCUAGUAGCCAAAGAAUGUGUCUAGACUAGAUCUUGAUAAGAUAAUUCGUAUUCAAAUACGAGUUACUCUUGAUCUCCAAGUCUCCCCCCUCCCCUUGCCUCUAUCUUAUCUUUUUUGGCAAUACCAGGGAUCAAAGCCAGAGUCUUGUCUAGGAUGAGCACACUUCAGUGGAGGCACAGGGCUGUUGAAACUCUCCAGCGUACAACUACAUCGUCAGUCAUGGAGAUGCCAAGUAACACGCUGACACUGAGUGAGUGCCACCACCCCCCACCCCCGGAUUCCAGGGCCAUCCAUCAGAGGUUUCUGCAUGUCUCUGCAGCCACAUGAUAGUGGCCGCUAGAAAAUCAGCUGUACUAUAUGCUAUCUAGCAACUCUCAGCAAGAAAGAAACACUUACAUCUAUAUCCUCCCUACACCCAGGGAAAAUGAGUGGCAGUCUCAAUCUCCAUAGAAUAUGGCAGAGCAACUGGGCAAGCAGCAGCAAGGCUCUGCAGCACAGGGCAGGGCUGAGAAGAACAACCGUAAGGCCAACUCCUCCUACCCUUCCAGAACUAUCUCCAGACACACACUCUCACUCUGGCUUCAUUUCAGUGGCCGCGUAUUAUGAAGAAACUUCCUGUGCUGCCACCCACAUCCUUAUCAGCGGCACAUUGAACACAAUCACCACCACGCUGGUGCCUGCACGCAAAAGAUACCUUCACUUAUUACAUACGACUUUUCAAGCCUUAGCGGGAACUGGAAACAUUCACAGAACACCUUGACCUUUAGAGUCUGGUAUUCCCAAGACAAUGCCCAGCCCAUCGUGCACAAAGCUGAGACUACCAACAUCAAUGUCAUUUUCUGUCUUAGUGUUCAGCUUCCUCUGACCCCGUCAGUCUUCUUCCAGCCCCCUCUUUCCCGGUCCUACCUAGCUUUGCCAAUGACCCACUGAAAACCAUGAUUGAACCAGACUGCUCUCCUCUUCUCACUUUGCUCUUCUUCAAGAAGGAGGAAGUCAUUGGAGAAGAGGCAAGGAAGGUGACCUGAUGGAACUGUUCCAAGAGACUCAGUGCCUGAGACUGCUACAUGCUCAGAGGUGCCCUCCAGAAAUUUCAUUAAAGACAAUGCAGAUAGAUGUACCUGGGGGAUAGCCUACCUUUGCAUGAAGCCCAGGGUCCAAGGCUAGUCAUAUUCAGAGAAAGCCUACUGUUGAAUGGCCAACAGCUGCCCCACCGUGAGAGCAGGAUGCUUCCCCAGGCCCUAGGAGGUGGGCAACAUCUCCAGAAAAAGAAUCUAAGCGCCCUCUAACAAGGAUGGGGAUACAUGGGUGUAUCAGGUUUGCCUCUCUCUAGAUUCCUUGGCUUUCCCUCUUCAUAUCACUCUACAAAAAAAAAAAAAAAAAAAAGCACGUCCUUGGCUCAUCAGAUAACACAAUGGGGACAGUCUGGGAAAAUAAACAGAACACCUGGAAAUCUCCCCUCUUGGACCUCUUAGAGUAACAAGCUAAACUGGGCAGCUGUUGCUGGGGCCAGCAAUGGCACAGGUAUCAAGGUUGGGGUGGAGGUUUCCCGUGUCCAUUGCUGCAGCAGCUGCCAUUCAAAGCCUUCCACCCAAGCAGCUGCUCAAACAGUGGCUCUCAAUCUUGUGGGUCAUGAGCACUUUGGAGGACUGCGAAUCAGAUACUUACAUUACGAUUGAUGACAGUAGCAAACUUACAGUUAUGAAGUAGCAACAAAAAUAAUUUCAAGGUUGGGGGGGGGGGGCGGUCACCAAACAGGAGAAACUGUAUUAAAGGAUCACAGCAUUAGGAAGGUUGAGAACCACUGUGCUCAAAGAGCACAUGUGAGGUUUUGAGCCUUUCCAUUAGGUAUUAUUUAUUGCUAUAGUUUCAAGUAUACAUUGUAUCAGAACGUUAUUCUUUUGGUUUUCCUUAGGGUCUUGUUCUUUUGGUAUUUCCAAGAGCUUUGCUACCAUCUAACCAGGUCUCUCAAGCAAAGAAAAUGAGUCAGCAGGGGAGACUGACAGCCAGGCCCCAAUCACAGUGCUGGUGUUGAAUGGCCAUGAAGCGAGCAGGUCUGGGGACUCAGUGAACAGGGACGUCUGUCUUCUUGUCCGAUUCAUUUAUACUCAAUCCUCUUCGCACUUGCACCACCAGAGAAAACACUAAAUCAGCCUUUAGAAAGCAAAGAAAUGCCAGGUUCCAGCUGCAGCAACUCUGCUCCUACUUGGAUGUGGUUUCUUCUCAACUGAGCUGAAGAGAAGCAGAGCCCUGGGCUUUUAUAGCGUUCUCACACCACAAUCCUUCACACAGAACAGAACAGCAUCCCCAGUAAUAAAUUUUAAACUAAUUAAAUUCUCAAUUGGCUAGGAGAAGCUCUCUCCAGCCUUGGAGUAAAUCUCCCUAUGCAUUUCUGGAAAUUCUAUUUAAUGAGGCGACACAGAAUAUUUUCCAGCCUGACGUCAGACAUUUCCAAAGCCCCCUGCCUUGGCAGCCUGGUUGGCCAUUGCUUCUGAUGUCUUCUCAUUGGUGCUGCCCCCCACUGGCUUCUGUAAACCUUUCCCACAUGGUGUCAAAAGGUGGUUCCCUGAAGACACAACACCUCAGAGAUCCCAGCAGAGUAUUUCCAGUCUCCCUGGAGGUCAGAACAUCUUGUACAUUAUAUGGUAUAUGGUCCUAUUUGAAAGCACAAUUUUUUUUUUAAAUGUAAUAAAAAUAAACUACAGAAACUCAAAAAAAAAAAAAAAAAAAGCACCUUGUUUGCUAGUGCUUGCCAGAGAGGAUGAUGUAUCAAGCCAUUCUGGGCCCGAGUCCAUCUGUAUGCAGAGCUUGCAUGCUGUGCACAAGUUCUCCACAGCCUCCUCCCCAAUGAAAUACCUUUCCAGUAGAAGAUGGAAGCAGACUGUAUCUCAUCCCCUGCAAAGUGGUUAGAGUCCCCCUUCCUUUCCACUAAUACAGACCUACUCCAGAAGAUGAGGACACAGGAGGCCCAAGUCCCCUGUCCAGUGCUAUUCUACCAUCCUUGUCUGUCUUGUUACUGCCAGUGAGAGCCCAUGCAACAGUUUAAUCUGGAAAAUGUCAACUGACGCUUGACGCUUACCGAAUAUAAGGCUAACUCAGAAGCGAGGACUCUGUGAGGAAUCAGCUGCCCUGCAAACUGACACUCGAUGAGGGAAAGAGGCUGGCCGACAAGUGAACACUCACUUGGGCAAGAUCCGUGAAGUGUCGAGUACUGGGCCAUACGAAGUCAGAUCACCUCUAAAUUACAGGAGUUGGAAUCCAUCUCUAUAUUCUGCAACUCUAAGUGGCAUGACUGAUUAAAGUUGGGUCAGCACACCCACUCAGCUUUUGUGUGCUACAAGAACGAUAUGAAGACAACAGAAAACAAGUCUAAGAGGAUGCAAUUUUAUCGACAGGAAAAUUAUCACCUGGAAGGAAAAGGAGAUGGUUAUGAUUCUCUGUUUGGAUAGAAAUGAGUCCGUGCAACCUCUGGUUUACUGCAGGUACAAGCUGUGAGGACUGUGCCACACGCUCAGAUGACGGCUCUGCUCCAGGACAAUCAGCCAGGAAAAGGUUGAGAAUUCCCCGUGGGUCACCAAGGAACGUCCGUCCACCUGCCUCGUGCUCCUGCAGAAGCUCAUUGCCUAGGCCACUCAGUUGGCGUUGGGACAAGACACUAAGAAUUCUUCUCCCUGUAGCUGGGGAGACAGAGCCAGCAGGAGUAGAGAGCUAAUGUAGAGGACUGUGACCACAGUGUGCUGUAUACUCACAGGAGAUUGUCAAAGGUGAAAACUGAUUUUUUAAAAUUUUUUAUUGGAUAUUUUAUUUAUUUACAUUUCAAAUGGUAUCCACUUUCUCUGUUUCCCCUCUGGAAAACCUCUAUACCAUUCCCGCUCACCAUAAAGAUUUUUUUCUAUUUG
Long non-coding RNA from Mus musculus (house mouse), 4145 nucleotides. RefSeq annotates it as predicted gene, 33335. The record is from RefSeq and is a predicted model, not a curated record. Lineage: Eukaryota; Metazoa; Chordata; Mammalia; Rodentia; Muridae. The transcript has 3 exons.